CAAGAAGUAACAACUUACACUAAGACUAAGAAAGGGAAGUUGAUUGAAAACUUAAAUCUUUUCUUCUUAAAGUCUUAGCAAGUUUCUCUCUAACUAAAUACAUCUUACUUUGUUUUGUAGGUCAUUAAUAAGGCUUGCCAAACACUUAGAAGAAUUGCCAAGCAAAGGAUACAAGAGGAGNCUUGUUCACGGUCAACACUUCAUUUAGCAACAUGUUUCCUACAUGGAUACACCAGCUGNCAACACCUUUUCCACGUGCAACAAAGGAGCUGGACGAAACUCACAUGUGGAGCACNAUUUCAUUGCAUUUUUCACGUGUUCAAUUGAUAGCUUAGCUAGCACACUUCACGUGUAACAUGAGUAGCUUCCCAUGCACAUUUCAGAACCUCUCUUCAUCUAUAAAAGAGAGGAUUCAAUCCUUUGUAAAGGCAACUUGAAUGAUAGUAAUGAGAUGCUGCUGAAUUUCAGCCGUUCUUCUUCAAGUUCAAACUGUGCUAGCUUUAGCUUUGCAUCCUCUAGCUUCUUUCCCCUAUGGAAAGCCUUCUNAGCUAGAAUUCCUCACUGCAUCAUCUCCAAACACGUUCACACCUUUUAUCAAACACCUUGCUCGCACUCCAUCCGCUACAUUCAAUCUCCAUUCCGCUGCCAACUCUGGUCCGAGGAGCCACUCCUUCUUGAAGAUUGGAGUCGCUUCUAUCAAUUGGUAUCAAGAGUGGUGCUGCAAUUUCUAACUCCCAGAUGGUUUCUCCAAAGGGGUAGCAUACUAAGGAGUGGAAGCAUUGUUAAAGUAAGCACAAGUUGGGACUUUGAGAGUACCUAAAACACAACUGUCCAGCAACCUGUUUCAGCAGCAAAAAUAUAUCAAAAUUUGGUAUUCCAGCAUCUUAAAACAGCAGCCACACUUGGCUUUCUCAUUUGCACACACUUUUCAUUGUAUUUGUGACUUGGUAUCACGGAACUUUGUGUUAAUUUGUUUCCUUUCCAUUUGCAAAUUAAAGUGGCUUGGAAAAAUGCUUUUCUAGCAAUUCCAAGUACACAAUCAAACAUUGUAAUAGCUUAGUUUCCACAUCUUAGUGUGAAAGUGUGUCAAGGGGCUCAAAGUGUCACGUGCACUUUCACUUAGGGCCGUGUUUCUUCUUCCAUUCA
Vigna radiata var. radiata (mung bean) is the source of this 1146-nucleotide long non-coding RNA. RefSeq lists it as uncharacterized. The record is from RefSeq and is a predicted model, not a curated record. The transcript has 2 exons. NCBI's taxonomy places the organism in Eukaryota, Viridiplantae, Streptophyta, Magnoliopsida, Fabales, Fabaceae.